GACAAUGGAACGAAUUAUAUAGGUGCU
Molecule: non-coding RNA, 27 nt
Filed under: Bombyx mori (domestic silkworm)
Lineage: Eukaryota; Metazoa; Arthropoda; Insecta; Lepidoptera; Bombycidae
Source: RNAcentral